GGCCUGCUGGCCCAAUGGCAAGGCGCUUGACUACGACUUGUGUAGAAGUUCUUCAACUUCUUCAUUGUUGACAUCAAGAGAUUGCAGGUUCGAUCCCUGCGUAGGUCA
Molecule: transfer RNA, 108 nt
Rfam family: tRNA
About the family: Transfer RNA (tRNA) molecules are approximately 80 nucleotides in length.
Source: Rfam